CAGCUGUGCCACACCGAGAAACCACUCAUGGCUGCAGCAGAUGGGAACUUUGAAAUGCCCAUGGGUUUAAAGAAAGACAACAAAAACGUCUUCAAUGCUGUUCAUCAAGGCGGCAGCCUCUUCCCUUGGAGACCACCAUGAAUGAGGGCAAGGGGGCAGUCGGUAGGGAGAUCUCUCCUCACUUGCACUACUGUGACGCCGCACAGCAUCACUCACUCAACCCCAGCCUCCAGACCACAGGCCCAGCACUGAUCGGGGACGCAUUCAGCCGCUGAGCCUGAGAUUUUUGUCUUAGCCCACUAAGAAAUGGACUGGAACACCUCCACCCCAUAUCACACCCGACUGGAUGGCGAUCAGAUGGCAUUGCCUACAAGCUGGCAAAGGAGACCUGGAUCGGCAGCACCUGCACAACUUACCAGAUGGCCACAGGCACAUAUUGUACACAAACUUGUCUCGCUCCUUCGUGGUGUCUAAUCCCCUGGAUGAAACAUAAAUGAAUAGUUAUAAUUCACACUUUAUCACCAUCCGUACGAAAUGAAUCGUGUGCUCUGUGCAUAUCAGUACCUUUGAACAUCUGGACUUUUACCUGUCUGUGCCUCAGUUUCUCUUUCUGUGGAUGAAAAUCUUACCCUCUCUCGCUGUGGGGUUGUGACACCUAAGCCACGGAUGUUCCUAAAUUAUCUACUCACCCAUCCUGCCGA
This is a long non-coding RNA of Chelonia mydas (Green sea turtle), 701 nucleotides long. RefSeq lists it as uncharacterized. The transcript has 4 exons. The record is from RefSeq and is a predicted model, not a curated record. Lineage: Eukaryota; Metazoa; Chordata; Testudines; Cheloniidae.